RNAcentral lists this unclassified non-coding RNA (278 nucleotides) under Hevea brasiliensis (rubber tree). The record is from RNAcentral. Lineage: Eukaryota; Viridiplantae; Streptophyta; Magnoliopsida; Malpighiales; Euphorbiaceae.
AAAAGACAAUUAUUUUAUCAAUUUAAUUCAAACAUGAUAAUAUCCUUAGGUGUUUAGAACAUGCUCAUGAAGUUUGUUUAACCUACAAGAGAAAACACAAAGAAUAAAAUUGCAACAAACAAAAAGAAUUUUAAAACUACAAGUUCUAGGGUUCAGCCAUGAAACCACCAAUAUGAUUCAAAAUCAAAACAUACCCAAAUUUUCUCAUAUGCAUGGCUAAAGCUGGGAAAUUGGAAGCAGUGUUAUCAAGGCCAGAGGCGACACUAAGGCGAUAGAGU